This 503-nucleotide ribosomal RNA is filed under the name uncultured bacterium. Its description in RNAcentral is "bacterial SSU rRNA". It matches the Rfam family "Bacterial small subunit ribosomal RNA", at positions 19 to 518 of the family's 1533-position model. The record is from RNAcentral.
CUGGCUCAGAACGAACGCUGGCGGCGUGCUUAACACAUGCAAGUCGCGUGCGCAGUUCCUGUAGCAAUACAGGGGAUGGGCGCACGGCGCACGGGUGCGUAACACGUGGGCAAUCUGCCCUCCGAUGGGGAAUAACCCCGCGAAAGCGGGGCUAAUACCGCGUAACAUUCCUUGAGCGAUGGUUUGAGGAUUCAAAGCAGUAAUGCGUCGGAGGAGGAGCCCGCGCCCGAUUAGCUAGUUGGUGAGGUAACGGCUCACCAAGGCAAUGAUCGGUAGCUGGUCUGAGAGGAUGAUCAGCCACACUGGAACUGAGACACGGUCCAGACUCCUACGGGAGGCAGCAGUGGGGAAUCUUGCACAAUGGGCGAAAGCCUGAUGCCAGCGACGCCGCGUGGGGGAUGAAGCUUCUCGGAGUGUAAACCCCUUUCGCCUGGGACGAAUGCCCGCAAGGGAGUGACGGUACCAGGAUAAGAAGCCCCGGCUAACUACGUGCCAGCCGCGGC